Cricetulus griseus (Chinese hamster) is the source of this 116-nucleotide small nucleolar RNA. The record is from Ensembl. Lineage: Eukaryota; Metazoa; Chordata; Mammalia; Rodentia; Cricetidae.
CUUCUUGCACCUUUGGGAUCUGCUGUCUAUAUCAGUCUUUCUUCCUAGCUGUUGAAGAGCAUGAUCUUGUUUUUUGGCAAAGCUAUCUCAGAUUUUGUCCUGCACAAGUAACAUUU